This 67-nucleotide transfer RNA is filed under the name Pelodiscus sinensis (Chinese soft-shelled turtle). It matches the Rfam family "tRNA". Rfam says of the family: Transfer RNA (tRNA) molecules are approximately 80 nucleotides in length. Their secondary structure includes four short double-helical elements and three loops (D, anti-codon, and T loops). The record is from Rfam by way of RNAcentral. Lineage: Eukaryota; Metazoa; Chordata; Testudines; Trionychidae.
GGCAGUGUGGCCUAAUGGGCACCAGUCUGGAACUCUGCUGACCCGAGGUCCAUUCCUGGUGCUGCCG